AUGCCCGGGCCCAAAACCCAGCGCCUCCCGCUGUCUAGACGGCUGCCAGGUUCCUCCUCGCGCCGCGGGCUGGGGGCAGAGGAGAGGCCGGGGGAGGCAGCUGGCGCGGCGCCACGGGACACAGCCCCGUGCCCGCCCUUGCCGUGGGACACGGUGCGCUGCCACCCCCGGCCCUUCGCCCACGGAGGGGCAGGAGCGGCGCCCGGUGCUGCCGUAACCCUCGCGCUCGCCCGGCUCUGGCCUGGCCCUGGCGGCAGCCACACCGGGCCCGCGGGGCUCAGCGCGGGUACCGAGCAUGGCGAUUUCUACCCGAUUGCCGCUUUCCCCCCGCGCGGGGCCGCCCGCAGCGCCCAGGGCUCUCGGGGACGUGCCAGCGGGCGCAGGGAGCCCCGCAGCCCGCAGGGGCGCGCGCGUGCCAGCGCGGGGCCCCGGCGAGGCCAGGCAGCGGGCGCCGGGGCUCUUUGGCGAAGCUGGAGGAGGUGCUGCCCUCCCAGGGCAGCCGGGCCCUGCCCGGAGGGCACCCCACCGCCGGCGCCCAUGCUCGGCCCACGGGUACGUGCCCGCACAUACGUGGCCGUGGGGCAGGGACGCGGCGCUUCGGCCGCAAGCGAAGCGCCCCAUCGGGAGGGGACGAGCGCCGUGCUGGCGAGCGGAGACCCGCCGGCCGCCUCGGGACAAGGCGUCGCGCCAGCGCCGGCACCGGCUUGCUGCGGCUCCGCAGGACGGGACGACACCAGCGGCGGGAGCGGGCUGAGCCUGCAGCCAGCUCCGGAGCGCACGUGGCCAUUUCUCCAUAGCACCGUGGGAGGCCCGCGGGGGCCCCCCAGAAAGCACCGAAGGACGGGGAGGCCCCGGCCCCAAGCGCGCUGCCGGCAGGGACGCGGCUUCCCCGGGCGCGGGGCCAACACCGCGGCCGCGCGAGGGCUUGGCCGAGCCCUGCUCCCGCGGCGGGCGCUCCGGGACACCCCGGCCCGGGCAGCCCCGGCCCCUGCAAGCUGCUGGGCUCCUGGUUCUUACAGAGGAAACAAAAAAGAAAAAAAAAAAAAUUAA
This 1050-nucleotide long non-coding RNA is filed under the name Apteryx rowi (Okarito brown kiwi). RNAcentral's name for it is "lncRNA (ENSARWG00000005421.1)". Lineage: Eukaryota; Metazoa; Chordata; Aves; Apterygiformes; Apterygidae. The record is from RNAcentral.